This 441-nucleotide unclassified non-coding RNA is filed under the name uncultured fungus. Its description in RNAcentral is "partial internal transcribed spacer 1". It matches the Rfam family "Bacterial small subunit ribosomal RNA", at positions 338 to 795 of the family's 1533-position model. The record is from RNAcentral. Lineage: Eukaryota; Fungi.
CCUACGGGGGGCAGCAGUAGGGAAUUUUCCACAAUGGGCGAAAGCCUGAUGGAGCAACGCCGCGUGCAGGAUGAAGGCCUUCGGGUUGUAAACUGCUUUUGUUUGUGACGAUUAUGACGGUAACAAGCGAAUAAGGGUCUGCUAACUACGUGCCAGCAGCCGCGGUCAUACGUGGGACCCAAGCGUUAUCCGGAAUUACUGGGCGUAAAGAGUUGCGUAGGUGGCAGAGUAAGUAGGUAGUGAAAUUGUGUGGCUCAACCAUACACCCAUUAUCUAAACUGCUCAGCUAGAGCAUGAGAGAGGUAACUGGAAUUUCUAGUGUAGGAGUGAAAUCCGUAGAUAUUAGAAGGAACACCGAUGGCGUAGGCAGGUUACUGGCUCAUUGCUGACACUAAGGCACGAAAGCGUGGGGAGCGAACUGGAUUAGAUACCCCGGUAGUC